Molecule: ribosomal RNA, 207 nt
Filed under: uncultured bacterium
Lineage: Bacteria
Description: partial 16S ribosomal RNA
Rfam family: Bacterial small subunit ribosomal RNA
Source: RNAcentral
UGCGUAGGCGGUCGGGUAAGUUUGAUGUGAAAUCUCUGGGCUUAACCCAGGAAUGGCAUUGAAUACUAUUCGGCUAGAGAGUCGGAGGGGGGACUGGAAUACUUGGUGUAGCAGUGAAAUGCGUAGAUAUCAAGUGGAACACCAGUGGCGAAGGCGAGUCCCUGGACGAUUUCUGACGCUGAGGCACGAAAGCUAGGGGAGCAAACA